AUUGAACGCUGGCGGCAGGCCUAACACAUGCAAGUCGAGCGGAUGAAGGGAGCUUGCUCCUGGAUUCAGCGGCGGACGGGUGAGUAAUGCCUAGGAAUCUGCCUGGUAGUGGGGGAUAACGUCCGGAAACGGGCGCUAAUACCGCAUACGUCCUGAGGGAGAAAGUGGGGGAUCUUCGGACCUCACGCUAUCAGAUGAGCUUAGGUCGGAUUAGCUAGUUUGUGGGGUAAAGGCCUACCAAGGCGACGAUCCGUAACUGGUCUGAGAGGAUGAUCAGUCACACUGGAACUGGGCCACGGUCCAGACUCCUACGGGAGGCAGCAGUGGGGAAUAUUGGACAAUGGGCGAAAGCCUGAUCCAGCCAUGCCGCGUGUGUGAAGAAGGUCUUCGGAUUGUAAAGCACUUUAAGUUGGGAGGAAGGGCAGUAAGUUAAUACCUUGCUGUUUUGACGUUACCAACAGAAUAAGCACCGGCUAACUUCGUG
Molecule: ribosomal RNA, 484 nt
Filed under: uncultured bacterium
Lineage: Bacteria
Description: partial 16S ribosomal RNA
Rfam family: Bacterial small subunit ribosomal RNA
Source: RNAcentral